Long non-coding RNA from Mugil cephalus (flathead mullet), 785 nucleotides. RefSeq lists it as uncharacterized. The transcript is spliced from 5 exons. NCBI's taxonomy places the organism in Eukaryota, Metazoa, Chordata, Actinopteri, Mugiliformes, Mugilidae. The record is from RefSeq and is a predicted model, not a curated record.
GUGUGUGUGUCUCCAUCCAUGCGUGAGUGGUGCGUCGGUGGAGCUAUGAAUGGGCAGAGAGGGGUGUUCUCUCCCUCUCUCUCUCCCUCAGACACCAUAGCAGCAGUGAGAUGAGGAGUGCCAUCUACUCCACUGCCCGUCUGCUGUACUGAGAGAAGAAAAGGGAAGGAAGAAACGGAGUUGUGGAGCCAGAGUUUGCAAAAAAGGACAAGGUGAUCCAUCCUAAAGCUGCAUCUGCACUGAAGAAAAAAAAAAGCCUUUAAGCCAGCCAUGGAGCAGAAGACAAAUGAGUCUCCCACCACCACCACCACCACCACCUCUCCUCAGAAGCACAUGAAGAACAGGUCCAAGUCCACGGAGGAGGUGCAGCAGUCAAAGAAGGCCUUUUCCUCACAAAAAUCUCUCCCAGGCAGGCCAGAACUGGACAACGUGAAGGAGUGUCCCGAUGGCUCUGACACGCCCUCGUCCUCCACCGAAGAACUUAAGUGAUUAAAAAAAAAUAAUAAUAAUAAUUAAAACUACAAUAUCAUUAACCUCAUAAAACAAAUAAAUGUGCAUAUGUACACAAGCAAACGUGCAGAAUAUUGAGAACAUUGUAAAACAUGCAAUACGUGAAUUAUGAUGAAAAGACGAAGGAAAAUUGAGAAAGUUGAAUACAAACACACAAACACACACCGAGACUGUCACGUUCAAACCAAUGGACAUUUGUGAUGAUGCUGUUUCGUCGUACUGUGAGUGGCGUAUGCAUACCAACUGAAUGUGCACUGACAAUAAAGAGUGAAUCC